Molecule: ribosomal RNA, 1482 nt
Filed under: uncultured prokaryote
Description: partial 16S ribosomal RNA
Rfam family: Bacterial small subunit ribosomal RNA
Source: RNAcentral
AGAGUUUGAUCCUGGCUCAGGAUGAACGCUAGCGGCAGGCCUCAUACAUGCAAGUCGAGGGGCAGCAUGACACUUCGGUGUUGGCGGCGACCAGCGAACGGGUGCGUAACACGUAUACAAGCUGCCUUGCACUGGGGCAUAGCUUUCGGAAACAGAAAUUAAUACCCCAUAUGAUGCUAGCAACACAUGUUGCAGGCAUGAAAGCUCCGGCGGUGCAAGAUGCGUAUGCGUCCUAUUAUCUAGUUGGUGAGGUAAUAGCUCACCAAGGCAACAAUGGGUAGGGGUUUUGAGAGGAAGAUCCCCCACACUGGCACUGAGAUACGGGCCAGACUCCUACGGGAGGCAGCAGUAAGGAAUAUUGGUCAAUGGGCGCAAGCCUGAACCAGCCAUGCCGCGUGCAAGAUGAAGGCCCUCUGGGUCGUAAAUUGCUUUUUUAUAGGAACAAAAGACUUCUGCGGAAGGCAUUGAGGGGUACUGUAAGAAUAAGCACCGGCUAACUCCGUGCCAGCAGCCGCGGUAAUACGGAGGGUGCAAGCGUUUUCCGGAAUUUUUGGGGUUUAAAGGGUGGGUUAGGCGGGCUUUUAAGUCAGUGGGGAAAUCCUGCCGCUUAACGGUAGCAUGGCCAUUGAAACUGAAACGCUUGAGUUAAGAAGAAGUAAGCAGAAUUUAUAGAGUAGCGGUGAAAUGCUUAGAUACUAUAAGGAAUUCCAAUAGCGAAGGCAGCUUACUGGUCUUUAACUGACGCUGAGGCACGAAAGCGUGGGGAGCGAACAGGAUUAGAUACCCUGGUAGUCCACGCCGUAAACGAUGAUUACUCGAUAUACACAUUAAUGUGUGUGUCCAAGCGAAAGCAUUAAGUAAUCCACCUGGGAAAGUACCCGGCCAAGCGUGAACUCAAAGGAAUUGACGGGGUCCGCCCAAGCGGGGGAGUAUGUGGUUAAAUUGGAUGAUACGCGAGGAACCUUACCUGGGCUAAAUGCUGCUGACAGCGCAAGAAAUUGCGUCUUCCUUCGGGACAGUGUACACGGUGCUGCAUGGCCGUCGUCAGCUCGUGCCGUGAGGUGUUGGGUUAAGUCCCACAACGAGCGCAACCCCUAUACCCUAGUUGCCAGCAUGUAACGAUGGGGACUCUAAGUAGACUGCCUGCGCAAGCAGUGAGGAAGGAGGGGACGAGGUCAGGUCAUCAUGGCCCUUACGCCCAGGGCUACACACGUACUACAAUGGCGUGUACAAUGGGAAGCUACCUGGCAACAGGAUGCAAAUCUCAAAAGCACGUCUCAGUUCGGAUUGAGGUCUGCAACUCGACCUCAUGAAGUUGGAAUCGCUAGUAAUCGCGCAUCAGCAAUGGCGCGGUGAAUACGUUCCCGGACCUUGUACACACCGCCCGUCAAGUCAUGGAAGUUGGUAGGACCUGAAGACAGUGACCGUUACAGGAGCUGUUUAGGGUUAGACCAGUAACUAGGGCUAAGUCGUAACAAGGUA